GCAAACUUGGUCAUUUAGAGGAAGUAAAAGUCGUAACAAGGUCUCCGUUGGUGAACCAGCGGAGGGAUCAUUACAGGAAUAAGCACUUGCGCCCCUGCGGCAAAAGCGCAAAAACCCCAGUGAACUACACCUUAUUAGAGGCGUCCCAGGUUGUGCCGACUGGCCCCUCGUGCUCUGUCUCUCCCUGUCAAGGGGGGAAGCGGACUAGGGGGCCGUCGGGACGCUGGGCGCACCCAAUAAAACACAUCUAGCCCCCGUAGGGAUACUUCUGAUUUAAACAUGAGAUAAAUAGCUGAAAACUUUCAACAACGGAUCUCUUGGCUCCAGCAUCGAUGAAGAACGCAGC
This 346-nucleotide unclassified non-coding RNA is filed under the name uncultured fungus. RNAcentral's name for it is "partial contains small subunit ribosomal RNA, internal transcribed spacer 1, and 5.8S ribosomal RNA". The stretch from base 1 to 73 matches the Rfam family "Eukaryotic small subunit ribosomal RNA", at positions 1759 to 1831 of the family's 1831-position model. Lineage: Eukaryota; Fungi. The record is from RNAcentral.